UCUGGAGGCACAGAUCAAUCGCCA
Molecule: small nuclear RNA, 24 nt
Filed under: Arabidopsis thaliana (thale cress)
Lineage: Eukaryota; Viridiplantae; Streptophyta; Magnoliopsida; Brassicales; Brassicaceae
Description: snRNA_08610
Source: RNAcentral